Molecule: transfer RNA, 72 nt
Filed under: Poecilia formosa (Amazon molly)
Lineage: Eukaryota; Metazoa; Chordata; Actinopteri; Cyprinodontiformes; Poeciliidae
Also listed under: 3 other names
Rfam family: tRNA
About the family: Transfer RNA (tRNA) molecules are approximately 80 nucleotides in length. Their secondary structure includes four short double-helical elements and three loops (D, anti-codon, and T loops). Further hydrogen bonds mediate the characteristic L-shaped molecular structure. tRNAs have two regions of fundamental functional importance: the anti-codon, which is responsible for specific mRNA codon recognition, and the 3' end, to which the tRNAs corresponding amino acid is attached (by aminoacyl-tRNA synthetases). tRNAs cope with the degeneracy of the genetic code in two manners: having more than one tRNA (with a specific anti-codon) for a particular amino acid; and 'wobble' base-pairing, i.e. permitting non-standard base-pairing at the 3rd anti-codon position.
Source: Rfam by way of RNAcentral
UCCUCGUUAGUAUAGUGGACAGUAUCUUCGCCUGUCACGCGGAAGACCGGGGUUCGAUUCCCCGACGGGGAG